RNAcentral lists this ribosomal RNA (282 nucleotides) under uncultured bacterium. Its description in RNAcentral is "partial 16S ribosomal RNA". It matches the Rfam family "Bacterial small subunit ribosomal RNA", at positions 334 to 627 of the family's 1533-position model. The record is from RNAcentral.
GUGUCCUACGGGGCGCAGCAGUCGAGAAUCAUUCACAAUGGGGGAAACCCUGAUGGUGCGACGCCGCGUGGGGGAAUGAAGGUCUUCGGAUUGUAAACCCCUGUCAUGUGGGAGAAAAUUAAAAAGAUAGUACCACAAGAGGAAGAGACGGCUAACUCUGUGCCAGCAGCCGCGGCAAUACAGAGGUCUCAAGCGUUGUUCGGACUCAAUGGGCGUCAAGCGUGCGUAGGCUGUUUCGUAAGUCGUGUGUGAACUGCGCGCGCUCAACCCGCGGCCGGCACA